AUUAUCGUGUCUCGAGGAGCACCGGAACCAGCGAUAGGCGGCGGCGAUGGAGAGGAUCCCGGCGGCCUUCGUCAUGGACUGGAGCAUCGACCACGGCAGGAGCCUCCGCUCCCGCCACCUAGGAGCGCACCACCAGGCCCUCGACGCCGACGCCCCAGGCAUUUGCAAGCUCGCAUCUUGGCCUACCGUCCCGGCGGGGGUGGCCUCCGCAUCCAGCAUCACGCCCGCCGAGUCCCGUGUCUUUUCCAAGACCAUGCUCUUCCGCCUCGCCACCGAGUUCAGGCCCGCCGUCGACGACUCCAUCCGGUCCUGCAUCGUCCGCUCCCUCCUCCCGAACGAGGUCGGCGGUUGGGCGGCGGCGGAUCCCAAGCAAAUCCUCCGUAGGGUCGCGGCGGCACACGGCACAGCAGGGGCAGCCCCGAGGACUAGCGCUCGCUCUUAGGAUGUUCGGUUGCCUCCCUGACUAAGCUGAGUUCCAAACGAACCCUCUAUGUUAAGGCAAAUUUAUAGCUUACCUUUUAUGUUCAUAUUGUGUGCCAUGAUUUGCAACCUUAAUUACUCCUCUUGCUUUUUUCAAUUUUCAUCCCACUGCGCUCCAGGUUUACCUUAAUGAUUUAGAAUCUCAGGCUGAAGGUUCAUGGAGAUGGAAGCACCCCUCAAUCCUCCAUCGCCAGUUGCGACUUCACUGGCACCGCCACCCUCUCCUCCAGGAUCCCCAGUCUUCUUCGUCUAAUGGCGAUGAUCAAUUCCAGCAUCGAGUGGUUUGCUGGAACUAGAUUGGGCAGGAAGGAAAUCCCCCAUUGCGCUCUUUGUUGUAGCUCUGUGUUAACUACUAAACAAAGCUACGAGCAUUAUAUUACGUGCGGCAGCGAUGGUGAAAGCAUGUUCUGUAGCUCCUUCAUUGGCUGCAAAUACUAGAGACUAACUGAGCAGGCUGACUACCAGCAUCCAAUCCUGACGAAGACGAAAAGCAAGUCGGUCUUCACAGCUGAGCCUUCUUUUCCUUCCCGGAUUUGUCUCUAGUUGUAUUGUCUAUGCAGAUAUAGUCAUGAAUUUUACAGGGCAUUCAAGCAUAUCAGAUGUAAGUUUACAAACAUGGAUUCUAUAUGAUGAUGCAGGUAUGUCCCGCUGAAUGAUGCUUAGUUUACAAACAAGGAUUCUAUAUGAUGAUGCAGGAUACAUCUCGCACGGAUGACAUCAGAAAGGUGAACAGAGUUUUGAAUGAGCUGGCUGGCUCCAGAUUUGUAGUUCGCCGACUUGGUCACCCGGCGAGCCGCCAACCGUUGUCCUCACGACGAGGUCCCAUUCGCACCAGGGAGUGGAUGUAGGGAGCUAGCCCGGAAGGCAAAAAGAAGGUGGAUUUGGGCUGCACUUCAAAUCUACAACCUUCAGCGUACCAGAACUGUGGACACAUCAGAAUACCCAAAUCGCCCCAGCUUGGAAGCCACCUCCUGAAGGUUUUAUAAAGGUUAACACCGAUGCUUCCUUCAUUCCUGAAUCUGGGGUUGGUAGCGCUAGAAUGGUCAGGCGGGACACCUCGGUAGCGGUCAUCUUAUCUGCAGCCUGUCCGACGAGAGACUGCACCGGGCUGAAGAAGCAGAAGUUGAGGUUAUACUGCGGGGCGUGCAUCUGAAUAUGAACUUUGGAUGCAGAUCAUCAUGGUGAGAUCUGACUGACUGACGCUGUUCAGUUCCAGGUCGCAUAACCUCUGUACCUCAUUUCUAAUUGUCGUUGUUGAUUUUCUAUAUAGACCUCUAAUUUUUUUUCUGAAA
Molecule: non-coding RNA, 1772 nt
Organism: Lolium perenne
Lineage: Eukaryota; Viridiplantae; Streptophyta; Magnoliopsida; Poales; Poaceae
Source: RefSeq, a predicted model, not a curated record